CCUCCUCCGGCCGGAUCCGGAACGGCCACGCCGAGGAAGCGGUGGCUGCCGUGCUUGCUCGAUUGGAGCUGACAAGGAAGGAGUUGUGGAGGGGGUAGAGGAGAGGAGAUGAAUGAGGGUAAAAAAGUCUUUUGGCAAUCAAAGUGCUAAAGUUUAGCCUCCUAUCCAAACACCCCACAGUGCUAAAAUUUAGCACUCUAUUUGAGAGGGCUAAAUUUUAGCCCAGGGCUAAACUUUAGCCCCUUCCUCC
This 250-nucleotide long non-coding RNA is filed under the name Setaria italica (foxtail millet). RNAcentral describes it as "long non-coding RNA (SITA_LNC003130)". Lineage: Eukaryota; Viridiplantae; Streptophyta; Magnoliopsida; Poales; Poaceae. The record is from RNAcentral.